RNAcentral lists this ribosomal RNA (486 nucleotides) under uncultured bacterium. Its description in RNAcentral is "partial 16S ribosomal RNA". It matches the Rfam family "Bacterial small subunit ribosomal RNA", at positions 30 to 507 of the family's 1533-position model. The record is from RNAcentral.
AUUGAACGCUGGCGGCAUGCCUUACACAUGCAAGUCGAACGGCAGCACGGGUGCUUGCACCUGGUGGCGAGUGGCGAACGGGUGAGUAAUACAUCGGAACAUGUCCUGUAGUGGGGGAUAGCCCGGCGAAAGCCGGAUUAAUACCGCAUACGAUCUACGGAUGGAAGCGGGGGACCUUCGGGCCUCGCGCUAUAGGGUUGGCCGAUGGCUGAUUAGCUAGUUGGUGGGGUAAAGGCCUACCAAGGCGACGAUCAGUAGCUGGUCUGAGAGGACGACCAGCCACACUGGGACUGAGACACGGCCCAGACUCCUACGGGAGGCAGCAGUGGGGAAUUUUGGACAAUGGGCGAAAGCCUGAUCCAGCAAUGCCGCGUGUGUGAAGAAGGCCUUCGGGUUGUAAAGCACUUUUGUCCGGAAAGAAAUCCUUGGCCCUAAUACGGUCGGGGGAUGACGGUACCGGAAGAAUAAGCACCGGCUAGCUACGUG